This 465-nucleotide ribosomal RNA is filed under the name Vreelandella stevensii. RNAcentral describes it as "partial 16S ribosomal RNA". It matches the Rfam family "Bacterial small subunit ribosomal RNA", at positions 338 to 795 of the family's 1533-position model. The record is from RNAcentral. Lineage: Bacteria; Pseudomonadati; Pseudomonadota; Gammaproteobacteria; Oceanospirillales; Halomonadaceae.
ACUACGGGUGGCAGCAGUGGGGAAUAUUGGACAAUGGGGGAAAGCCUGAUCCAGCCAUGCCGCGUGUGUGAAGAAGGCCUUCGGGUUGUAAAGCACUUUCAGUGGGGAAGAAAGCCUUGGGGCUAAUACCCUCGAGGAAGGACAUCACCCACAGAAGAAGCACCGGCUAACUCCGUGCCAGCAGCCGCGGUAAUACGGAGGGUGCGAGCGUUAAUCGGAAUUACUGGGCGUAAAGCGCGCGUAGGCGGUCUGAUAAGCCGGUUGUGAAAGCCCCGGGCUCAACCUGGGAACGGCAUCCGGAACUGUCAGGCUAGAGUGCAGGAGAGGAAGGUAGAAUUCCCGGUGUAGCGGUGAAAUGCGUAGAGAUCGGGAGGAAUACCAGUGGCGAAGGCGGCCUUCUGGACUGACACUGACGCUGAGGUGCGAAAGCGUGGGUAGCAAACAGGAUUAGAUACCCGAGUAGUC